UACGUAGGGGGCAAGCGUUGUCCGGAAUCAUUGGGCGUAAAGAGCGUGUAGGCGGCUUGGUAAGUCCGCUGUGAAAGUCCAGGACUCAACCCUGGAAUGCCGGUGGAAACUGUCAAGCUUGAGUCCGGAAGAGGCGAGUGGAAUUCUUGGUGUAGCGGUGAAAUGCGCAGAUAUCAGGAGGAACACCAAUGGCGAAGGCAGCUCGCUGGGACGGUACUGACGCUGAGACGCGAAAGCGUGGGGAGCAAACAGG
RNAcentral lists this ribosomal RNA (253 nucleotides) under uncultured bacterium. Its description in RNAcentral is "partial 16S ribosomal RNA". It matches the Rfam family "Bacterial small subunit ribosomal RNA", at positions 524 to 776 of the family's 1533-position model. The record is from RNAcentral.